AUUGAACGCUGGCGGCAGGCUUAACACAUGCAAGUCGAGCGGUAACAGGAGAAGCUUGCUUCUCGCUGACGAGCGGCGGACGGGUGAGUAAUACUUAGGAAUCUGCCCAGUAGUGGGGGAUAGCUCGGGGAAACUCGAAUUAAUACCGCAUACACCCUACGGGGAAAAGGGGGCACUUGUGCUCUCGCUAUUGGAUGAGCCUAAGUCGGAUUAGCUAGUUGGUGGGGUAAAGGCCUACCAAGGCGACGAUCUGUAGCUGGUCUGAGAGGAUGAUCAGCCACACCGGGACUGAGACACGGCCCGGACUCCUACGGGAGGCAGCAGUGGGGAAUAUUGGACAAUGGGGGCAACCCUGAUCCAGCCAUGCCGCGUGUGUGAAGAAGGCCUUUUGGUCGUAAAGCACUUUAAGCAGUGAAGAAGACUCUAUGGUUAAUACCCAUAGACGAUGACAUUAGCUGCAGAAUAAGCACCGGCUAACUCUGUGCCAGCAGCCGCGGUAAUACAGAGGGUGCAAGCGUUAAUCGGAAUUACUGGGCGUAAAGCGAGCGUAGGUGGCUUGAUAAGUCAGAUGUGAAAUCCCCGGGCUUAACCUGGGAACUGCAUCUGAUACUGUUAGGCUAGAGUAGGUGAGAGGGAGGUAGAAUUUCAGGUGUAGCGGUGAAAUGCGUAGAGAUCUGAAGGAAUACCGAUGGCGAAGGCAGCCUCCUGGCAUCAUACUGACACUGAGGUUCGAAAGCGUGGGUAGCAAACAGGAUUAGAUACCCUGGUAGUCCACGCCGUAAACGAUGUCUACUAGUCGUUGGGGAACUUGAUUCCUUAGUGACGCAGCUAACGCAAUAAGUAGACCGCCUGGGGAGUACGGCCGCAAGGUUAAAACUCAAAUGAAUUGACGGGGGCCCGCACAAGCGGUGGAGCAUGUGGUUUAAUUCGAUGCAACGCGAAGAACCUUACCUGGUCUUGACAUAUCUAGAAUCCUGCAGAGAUGCGGGAGUGCCUUCGGGAAUUAGAAUACAGGUGCUGCAUGGCUGUCGUCAGCUCGUGUCGUGAGAUGUUGGGUUAAGUCCCGCAACGAGCGCAACCCUUUUCCUUAGUUACCAGCGGUUUGGCCGGGGACUCUAAGGAUACCGCCAGUGACAAACUGGAGGAAGGCGGGGACGACGUCAAGUCAUCAUGGCCCUUACGACCAGGGCUACACACGUGCUACAAUGGUAGGUACAGAGGGCAGCUACACAGCGAUGUGAUGCGAAUCUCAAAAAGCCUAUCGUAGUCCAGAUUGGAGUCUGCAACUCGACUCCAUGAAGUUGGAAUCGCUAGUAAUCGCGGAUCAGAAUGCCGCGGUGAAUACGUUCCCGGGCCU
This 1357-nucleotide ribosomal RNA is filed under the name uncultured bacterium. RNAcentral describes it as "bacterial SSU rRNA". It matches the Rfam family "Bacterial small subunit ribosomal RNA", at positions 28 to 1381 of the family's 1533-position model. The record is from RNAcentral.